This is a long non-coding RNA of Papaver somniferum (opium poppy), 570 nucleotides long. RefSeq lists it as uncharacterized. The record is from RefSeq and is a predicted model, not a curated record. NCBI's taxonomy places the organism in Eukaryota, Viridiplantae, Streptophyta, Magnoliopsida, Ranunculales, Papaveraceae. The transcript is spliced from 2 exons.
GCCAUGCUAUAAAUGGAGAUUAGCAGUGGAUGUUAAAUCUCACAAAUCAAAGUUUUAGCACUAAUAGAGUAAAUUUGUUUAGAUAGUCAUGGCUAAGAUCUCUGCAGCUUCUUUACUUGGUUUCUUCUUGGUUUUGGCUGUUUUAUUUGCUACUCAGAUGGCUGUUGACCGCAGAAGCUCAAGCUCCAGCAUGUACCGAAGACACGGUUAUACUAGGUGGGGGCUGUGAGCAAUGUGCCGCUAGAUGUUCAAAAAAGUAUCCACUAUCCAUCGGUGGGUCUUUAUGUGUUCCUGGAACGGGAACUGUCCAAUGUGGAUGUUGCGUUAUAAUACCUAAGAUAUGAUAAUGAAUCAAGUAAUUUUCUUCAUAGUUGCCUAAAAAGCACAAUAAUAUGUCUGAUGUAAAAUAAAAUAGCUUUGCUACUUACUCUUGUGUCUCGUAGAGAUUUGUAAGUUCGCGAAUGCAGCGGCUGAUAAGACCCACCAUACGAAAUGUUCAUGUCAUCUCGUGUGUUUAUAAAUGGCUUAUCAAUAAGACCCACAAUGGGCACCCUAAUGCCUUUAAGCUUU